Long non-coding RNA from Anopheles gambiae (African malaria mosquito), 1644 nucleotides. RefSeq lists it as uncharacterized. The transcript has 2 exons. NCBI's taxonomy places the organism in Eukaryota, Metazoa, Arthropoda, Insecta, Diptera, Culicidae. The record is from RefSeq and is a predicted model, not a curated record.
UGUGUGUGUGUUUUAUAAUUAUUCAUUCAUUUUCAUUCUUUCCUAUUGCGUUCUUUAUGAGGGCGUACGUACACCUUCCGUGCGCGUCUUCCUUUGGCCGUGUCCCCUAGUCCCUGGCCGCGAGAGCCAUUCUACAGCGGUGGGGCCGAGGAUGGUACGUGAUCCGGGUGCCAAAUAGUUGGCGGUGGUGGAUCCCUAAUCCGAUGUCUUGCUGCGUAACACCGGCACCACGGCUCAAUCAGUUUCGAGCGAGCAGCGAACCGUGAAGCAUCGGCGUCAAACAGGAUCAUCCCCUUCUGGCUAUUUGCCUCUGGUGUUACCAAAACUCUGACUGCGGAUUUAUGCCCCCGUGUGUGUGUGUGUGUGUGUGUGUGUGUGUGUAUGUGUCUGUGUCUGUGGGUGUAAAAAAAGGUUUCAAAGUUCUUGGCAAAGCGCCCCUCAAAUUGGCAACUUGGCAAGAUGUUGGCAUAGCUAAAAGAUUUGGAUUUAGCUAUUCAACUUCUUGUUUAUUUUUCCAAUUUACUUACAUCGAGAACCCGGUGGCCGUCUGUGACGGCCCGGGCAAAAGAACAUACCCCCUCCCUACCUCCCUGUCCGGAAUGUGCAACUAUCAACCACGUGUCAACUAUUCAAAACUCCCCAAGGCUGCAGCGCCAUCUAUCAGCUACCGGGGUGAAUCUCGAGGCUUGAAGCCGCAGCAGACGAAGAUUCUCCAGUACACCAAAAUGAAGCCGCCAGACAAAUGUACCGUCGACUCUUCACCGUCUCCAGCAAAACCCGCUCACCAGGGGAACGGCUACGUUACGGUAUUCGCCUCACUAACCUACUGCCAGCAGCCAGCUCCAAUUGCAGCGAAGCCCAGCCCGUUGGCGAAAGUUGACAGGUGUGCACAAGGAGCCACAUUCCACAUUCUCUUGUUGUGCCGUUCUGUGUCCCACACGAAUUCCCAAAAAAAAAAACUUUCCCAUCUGCGCUAGCGGAUGUAAAAAUUAAUGAGCUAACCUCGAAAGAACAACGCACGCGGAAAAACAGGUAUAAAUCGUGUGGUACGCGUUUCCCGCCAUUCCUCUUGGUAAUAUAUUAUUUAUGAUUUUUCAUCUAUCCGCACCGGACGCCCCAGCCGCUUAGAUGAUGGGUGUGUGUGUGUGUGUGUGAGUGUAACGGGGACGUACCGGAGCAGCAUUACGGCAAUCGGCACGAACGUCACGGUUUCCUGGUUCCAAAAUUAAGCAGCGAUUUUAAUCAACAGGUUUGGGCCGGGAGGUUUGCGGCUGAUGUGAGUGCAUUAGCUAAUAGCGGUGCGCAAAAUCGGUGGCAAACGCCUUCGUGACCCAAAUGUCCCAAGAUUCCCGCCGCCCUCCAACUAUUCCCCUGAGUUACGCUGCAUUACGGGAAGAGGACGUGCUCAAGCGACGAACCCCUUGCAGGAGGCAGCAAACCAUGAGCAAAACGUUUUUCUCGCCUUAAUAUGAUUAAUAAAAACGAUUCAACGCGAUGCUUUUUUGUGUGCGGCGACGUACGUAAAGCGCAGCCGAAACGUGGACUACUUGAGCGUGUCCUUUCAUUUUAUUUUUUUUCUGAAAGAACAAAAACACAACAAGCCUCUAAUAAAAUCUUCAAGAGCAGGUGCGCUCCAUUACUUCA